CAAGUCGAACGAUUAAAGCUCUCUUCGGAGAGUGCAUAAAGUGGCGCACGGGUGAGUAACACGUAAGUAAUCUACCUUCGAGUGGGGAAUAACGUCCGGAAACGGACGCUAAUACCGCAUAAUGCAGCGGCAUCGCAAGAUGACAGUUGUUAAAGAUUUAUCGCUUGAAGAGGAGCUUGCGGCAGAUUAGCUAGUUGGUAAGGUAAUGGCUUACCAAGGCUACGAUCUGUAACCGGUCUAAGAGGACGGUCGGUCACACUGACACUGAAUAACGGGUCAGACUCCUACGGGAGGCAGCAGUCGGGAAUUUUGGGCAAUGGGCGAAAGCCUGACCCAGCAACGCCGCGUGAAGGAUGAAGUAUUUCGGUAUGUAAACUUCGAAAGAAUAGGAAGAAUUAAUGACGGUACUAUUUAUAAGGUCCGGCUAACUACGUGCCAGCAGCCGCGGUAAUACGUAGGGACCAAGCGUUGUUCGGAUUUACUGGGCGUAAAGGGCGCGUAGGCGGCAAUUCAAGUCAUCUGUGAAAUCUCCGGGCUUAACUCGGAACGGUCAGAUGAUACUGCUUUGCUAGAGUGCGGAAGGGGCAAUCGGAAUUCUCGGUGUAGCGGUGAAAUGCGUAGAUAUCGAGAGGAACACCUGAGGUGAAGACGGGUUGCUGGGCCGACACUGACGCUGAUAGCGCGAAAGCCAGGGGAGCAAACGGGAUUAGAUACCCCGGUAGUCCUGGCCCUAAACGAUGAAUACUUGGUGUCUGGAGUUAUUAGUGCUCCGGGUGCCGUCGCUAACGUUUUUAGUAUUCCCGCCUGGGGAGUACGCUCGCAAGAGUGAAACUCAAAGGAAUUGACGGGGACCC
This 854-nucleotide ribosomal RNA is filed under the name uncultured Bacillota bacterium. RNAcentral's name for it is "bacterial SSU rRNA". It matches the Rfam family "Bacterial small subunit ribosomal RNA", at positions 58 to 922 of the family's 1533-position model. Lineage: Bacteria; Bacillati; Bacillota. The record is from RNAcentral.